This 562-nucleotide ribosomal RNA is filed under the name uncultured bacterium. RNAcentral describes it as "bacterial SSU rRNA". It matches the Rfam family "Bacterial small subunit ribosomal RNA", at positions 28 to 587 of the family's 1533-position model. The record is from RNAcentral.
AUUGAACGCUGGCGGCAUGCCUUACACAUGCAAGUCGAACGGCAGCGGGCCUUCGGGUGCCGGCGAGUGGCGAACGGGUGAGUAAUGCAUCGGAACGUGCCAUUGAGUGGGGGAUAACGUAGCGAAAGUUGCGCUAAUACCGCAUAUUCUGUGAGCAGGAAAGCAGGGGACCGCAAGGCCUUGCGCUCUUUGAGCGGCCGAUGUCAGAUUAGCUAGUUGGUGAGGUAAAGGCUUACCAAGGCGACGAUCUGUAGCGGGUCUGAGAGGAUGAUCCGCCACACUGGAACUGAGACACGGUCCAGACUCCUACGGGAGGCAGCAGUGGGGAAUUUUGGACAAUGGGGGCAACCCUGAUCCAGCCAUGCCGCGUGAGUGAAGAAGGCCUUCGGGUUGUAAAGCUCUUUCGGCCGGGAAGAAAUCGCAUGGGUGAAUACCCUGUGUGGAUGACGGUACCGGAACAAGAAGCACCGGCUAACUACGUGCCAGCAGCCGCGGUAAUACGUAGGGUGCGAGCGUUAAUCGGAAUUACUGGGCGUAAAGCGUGCGCAGGCGGUUUGGUAAG